RNAcentral lists this long non-coding RNA (2133 nucleotides) under Homo sapiens (human). Its description in RNAcentral is "PREDICTED lncRNA (TCONS_00025405)". The record is from RNAcentral. Lineage: Eukaryota; Metazoa; Chordata; Mammalia; Primates; Hominidae.
ACCUCUAGCCAGGGACGCGCGCUCGGUCCCCCGCCGUGCGCCCCCGGUCCCGCGCCCAGGCUCCCGCCCCUGGCCUCCUUACCAGCCACUUGUCGCCCAGCUGCGAACUGGAGCGGGAGGCGGCGGCCGGAGGGCCCAGGACAGCCCCGGGAGGGCGGCGAGGCGGAGCAGGAGCGCCCCGGCUCCGGCCACAUUCUCAGAGUCAGGAAAAGGGGCGAGAGGCCACAUGUCUCCCUCUCGCCCAACUGAAAACGAAACGGCGCUCCAGCAGAUUGGGUGGAAAGAGCUGGGUCUCUUUUCUCUGUUUUUCACGCUAGAAAGGGCUUGUAAACAUUGUUCCUUUUAAAAUGACCUACCCCAGGCAUUUGUUUGGGCACACUUCUGUCCUGGGGUCAUCGUUCCUAGGUGGCUUCGGACCUGGGACUUUUCCUGUAUCUGCACAUUGUCGUUUUAUACACAAUUGCCAAGGUGGGACUGCUUUCAACUUUACUGUGCUUGAAGCUGCAAAGCGGAUCCUGUUACAGUGCAAAGAAGAAAUGGCAAACGGAUAACAGCUACUGUGCCUAGAAGAUGGUUCUGCCCUGAUGUUUCCUGGAAUAAUGCUGAGGACUGCCUUUCGGGUAGCCGCCCUAUUCAGUUCACUUCAUCUCGGAAAUACCUGACCCCUGCCUUGGAUCCAGCGGCCCUCCUGAGAGCUGAGGAAGGAGGAAAUCCUAUGUGUCUGCUCCCGGAGCUGCCACAACCCAUCUUCCCACAACUCGGAACUUGGAAAAAGGAACCCAGGACACGACUUUGCUUUUCUUUUGGACCUAGUUGAAGUCACAGCUUGGAGGAAACCAGUUUGCACUAUUUGAUGAGGAAUUUGGCCACCAAACCACUGAUACUUUCCCAAAGAUACAAGUUAACAGGAUAUGCUUCUGGCCUGUUUCUGGAUUCUAAGGGUAGAACCAGCAUAAAACUAGUCAGUCCAAGUAUUUCUAAAGAUCCACAGACACAGUUCUCCUGGAUUUGGGAAGCCUAGAGAUAUUAGCACAAUAAUUAAGGCCCAAGGUAAAAGCAACAGCAGCCUGAAAAUGCAAAAGACCAUACAUUUUAAUGCAACUUUUAAAAGCCUUUCCACUGCACAGUGAAAGAAAACCACAAACUCCUUGUUUAAUAAGUGGGAUCACGUGCUUUUAACACGAGGAAAAGGUCAAUCUGAAGCAACUGAUAUGGAACUGCCAGAGUAGGAGUUGAAAAUCUUCCUAAACUGCUGGAGGAUACACCUCUGAUAGCUUGAGACAAAUAUCCUCUUGAUCAUUGUUUCACCAUAUUUGUCUUUGCUCAUGGAGAACCAUUUUGAUCCGUGGUUUAGCCUCCCAGGUGAUUGAACAAUACCGGUGAUCUGAGGCAGACCCUCUGUGACGGAUAACAGAAAAGAAAAUUGAGGAUCAGAAAAUACGCACAAUUUGCAAAAACCAUGGGAAAGAAUAUUGAUUGAACAUCUACUCAAGAACUGCAAAACAGAGAUUACCUGACCUAAAGCAUUUAUAUUGCCAAUCAUGUUGGAGAGUCCAUGUGGUGAUUUCUGAAAACGAGAUGUGAGAAAGAAGAGGAUAAUUUAAGUCUAGACCUACAGAUUGUGCUGAUAAAGUGAUGAAGAACUACAAUCUUCUUAGUCAUUUCAUUGUAUAAGUGCAAUAAAGGAUUUUGUGUCUUUCCUGGCAAACAACUUGUGACCACAGUGAUGGCUCCAGCAGAAUGGAAAAGACCCUUUACCUCACAUCUCAGAAGUAAAGAUGCUGAUUAUUUGACAUCGCCAUUGGAAUCUCAAAACAGUGUAAAGCAUUUGCUAAAAAGAGUCACUUUCUGAGAAAUGACUCAGAAUUCGACUUACGUACUAGCAGAACUUAUUGCCCAUAAAAGGAAAGGCCACACUUUUUGUGAAAACUUAAUAAUCCCUAGGAUGUAAAAUUAUACUGAGUUAAAUCCUAGUCCCAUUUUUAGUACAAGAAACUGGAAAAAAAUAAUCCACUCUCAAAUGGUAAGACAAAUUGAGAUAUUGCUGAAAAGCCUCUUGACCCUGAAAAGUUCUGAAUAAUAAACUGAUAAAAGCAGCAGCAGCAUCUAACUUGACACCAGUCAUGUCAUUUG